RNAcentral lists this ribosomal RNA (253 nucleotides) under uncultured bacterium. Its description in RNAcentral is "partial 16S ribosomal RNA". It matches the Rfam family "Bacterial small subunit ribosomal RNA", at positions 524 to 776 of the family's 1533-position model. RNAcentral also lists the same sequence under 1 other name. The record is from RNAcentral.
UACAGAGGGUGCGAGCGUUAAUCGGAAUUACUGGGCGUAAAGCGCGCGUAGGUGGUUUUGUAAGUCGGGUGUGAAAUCCCUGGGCUCAACCUGGGAACUGCAUUCGAGACUGCAAGACUGGAGUAUGGGAGAGGGCAGCGGAAUUUCCGGUGUAGCGGUGAAAUGCGUAGAUAUCGGAAGGAACAUCAGUGGCGAAAGCGGCUGCCUGGCCCAAUACUGACACUCAUGUGCGAAAGCGUGGGGAGCAAACAGG